This 492-nucleotide ribosomal RNA is filed under the name uncultured bacterium. RNAcentral describes it as "partial 16S ribosomal RNA". It matches the Rfam family "Bacterial small subunit ribosomal RNA", at positions 29 to 507 of the family's 1533-position model. The record is from RNAcentral.
AGUGAACGCUGGCGGUAGGCUUAACACAUGCAAGUCGAACGGCAGCACAGUAAUAGCUUGCUCUUACGGGUGGCGAGUGGCGGACGGGUGAGGAAUACAUCGGAAUCUACUUUUUCGUGGGGGUUAACGUAGGGAACCUUACGCUAAUACCGCAUACGACCUACGGGUGAAAGCAGGGGAUCUUCGGACCUUGCGCGAUUGAACGAGCCGGUGUCGGGUUAGCUAGUUGGCGGGGUAACGGCCCACCAAGGCGUCGAUCCGUUGCUGGGCUGAGGGGAUGAAGCGGCCCAGAGGGAGUGGAAGACCGUACAGAGACCGAGAGGAGGCCGCGAUUGGGAAGAGUGGAAGAAGGGCGCAAGCCUGAUCCAGCCAUACCGCGUUGGUGAAGAAGGGCUUCGGGUUGUAAAGCCCUUUUGUUGGGAAAGAAAAGCAGCAGGAUAAUACCCCGCUGUUCUGACGGUACCCAGAGAAGAAGCACCGGCUAACUUCGUG